ACGGGUGAGUAACGCGUGGGAACGUGCCUUUCGGUUCGGAAUAACUCAGGGAAACUUGAGCUAAUACCGGAUACGCCCUUCGGGGGAAAGAUUUAUUGCCGAAAGAUCGGCCCGCGUCCGAUUAGCUAGUUGGUGAGGUAAUGGCUCACCAAGGCGACGAUCGGUAGCUGGUCUGAGAGGAUGAUCAGCCACACUGGGACUGAGACACGGCCCAGACUCCUACGGGAGGCAGCAGUGGGGAAUAUUGGACAAUGGGCGCAAGCCUGAUCCAGCCAUGCCGCGUGAGUGAUGAAGGCCCUAGGGUUGUAAAGCUCUUUCGCCAGGGACGAUAAUGACGGUACCUGGAUAAGAAGCCCCGGCUAACUUCGUGCCAGCAGCCGCGGUAAUACGAAGGGGGCUAGCGUUGUUCGGAAUCACUGGGCGUAAAGCGCACGUAGGCGGAUCUUUAAGUCAGGGGUGAAAUCCCGAGGCUCAACCUCGGAACUGCCUUUGAUACUGGAGGUCUAGAGUCCGGGAGAGGUGAGUGGAACUGCGAGU
This 537-nucleotide ribosomal RNA is filed under the name uncultured bacterium. Its description in RNAcentral is "bacterial SSU rRNA". It matches the Rfam family "Bacterial small subunit ribosomal RNA", at positions 102 to 674 of the family's 1533-position model. The record is from RNAcentral.